Molecule: long non-coding RNA, 203 nt
Filed under: Malus domestica (apple)
Lineage: Eukaryota; Viridiplantae; Streptophyta; Magnoliopsida; Rosales; Rosaceae
Description: long non-coding RNA (MDOM_LNC001919)
Source: RNAcentral
CCUAAGUUAUAUUCAUAUGCUUUGGCCAAAGACUCUCGAAUCAUAUCUUAGAGUAUUCUCCUUCCUCCAUGGAAGGUUAGAGAUCCCUUGUUGUACAUUCAUAUGCCUACAUGAGUAGAUAGCUUGACCCCAACAAUGUCGUGGACACUCCAAUGGAAUGCCUUUGACAUGAUCAAAGAUCAAGGACCUAACCAUUAGACAUC